UUUGUUUUAGUUUACAAGAACCUCUAGUUUGCAUCUAGAAAGCGGGAAUCCCCAAACGUUA
This 61-nucleotide transfer RNA is filed under the name Questa ersei. Its description in RNAcentral is "tRNA-Ala". Lineage: Eukaryota; Metazoa; Annelida; Polychaeta; Questidae. The record is from RNAcentral.